GUCGACGGUAGCACAGAGGAGCUUGCUCCUUGGGUGACGAGUGGCGGACGGGUGAGUAAUGUCUGGGAAACUGCCCGAUGGAGGGGGAUAACUACUGGAAACGGUAGCUAAUACCGCAUAACGUCGCAAGACCAAAGAGGGGGACCUUCGGGCCUCUUGCCAUCGGAUGUGCCCAGAUGGGAUUAGCUAGUAGGUGGGGUAACGGCUCACCUAGGCGACGAUCCCUAGCUGGUCUGAGAGGAUGACCAGCCACACUGGAACUGAGACACGGUCCAGACUCCUACGGGAGGCAGCAGUGGGGAAUAUUGCACAAUGGGCGCAAGCCUGAUGCAGCCAUGCCGCGUGUAUGAAGAAGGCCUUCGGGUUGUAAAGUACUUUCAGCGAGGAGGAAGGCGUUGCGGUUAAUAACCGCAACGAUUGACGUUACUCGCAGAAGAAGCACCGGCUAACUCCGUGCCAGCAGCCGCGGUAAUACGGAGGGUGCAAGCGUUAAUCGGAAUUACUGGGCGUAAAGCGCACGCAGGCGGUCUGUCAAGUCGGAUGUGAAAUCCCCGGGCUCAACCUGGGAACUGCAUCCGAAACUGGCAGGCUAGAGUCUUGUAGAGGGGGGUAGAAUUCCAGGUGUAGCGGUGAAAUGCGUAGAGAUCUGGAGGAAUACCGGUGGCGAAGGCGGCCCCCUGGACAAAGACUGACGCUCAGGUGCGAAAGCGUGGG
Molecule: ribosomal RNA, 714 nt
Filed under: uncultured bacterium
Lineage: Bacteria
Description: bacterial SSU rRNA
Rfam family: Bacterial small subunit ribosomal RNA
Source: RNAcentral